RNAcentral lists this ribosomal RNA (248 nucleotides) under uncultured bacterium. Its description in RNAcentral is "partial 16S ribosomal RNA". It matches the Rfam family "Bacterial small subunit ribosomal RNA", at positions 523 to 769 of the family's 1533-position model. The record is from RNAcentral.
AUACGUAGGGGGCAAGCGUUAUCCGGAUUUACUGGGUGUAAAGGGAGCGUAGGUCGGCAAGGCAAGUCUGAUGUGAAAACCCGGGGCUCAACCCCGGGACUGCAUUGGAAACUGCUUAGCUAGAGUGUCGGAGAGGUAAGUGGAAUUCCUAGUGUAGCGGUGAAAUGCGUAGAUAUUAGGAGGAACACCAGUGGCGAGGGCGACUUACUGGACGAUAACUGACGCUGAGGCUCGAAAGCGUGGGGAGC